This 253-nucleotide ribosomal RNA is filed under the name uncultured bacterium. RNAcentral describes it as "partial 16S ribosomal RNA". It matches the Rfam family "Bacterial small subunit ribosomal RNA", at positions 524 to 776 of the family's 1533-position model. The record is from RNAcentral.
UACGUAGGGGGCAAGCGUUGUCCGGAUUUAUUGGGCGUAAAGCGCGUGUAGGCGGCCAGGUAGGUCCGCUGUGAAAACCCGAGGCUCAACCUCGGGACGUCGGCGGAAACCAUUUGGCUAGAGUCCGGAAGAGGAGAGUGGAAUUCCCGGUGUAGCGGUGAAAUGCGCAGAUAUCGGGAAGAACACCCGUGGCGAAGGCGGCUCACUGGUCCGGUACUGACGCUGAGGUGCGAAAGCGUGGGGAGCAAACAGG